UCGAACGGAAAGGCCCUGCUUUUGUGGGGUGCUCGAGUGGCGAACGGGUGAGUAACACGUGAGUAACCUGCCCUUGACUUUGGGAUAACUUCAGGAAACUGGGGCUAAUACCGGAUAGGAGCUCCUGCUGCAUGGUGGGGGUUGGAAAGUUUCGGCGGUUGGGGAUGGACUCGCGGCUUAUCAGCUUGUUGGUGGGGUAGUGGCUUACCAAGGCUUUGACGGGUAGCCGGCCUGAGAGGGUGACCGGCCACAUUGGGACUGAGAUACGGCCCAGACUCCUACGGGAGGCAGCAGUGGGGAAUAUUGCACAAUGGGCGGAAGCCUGAUGCAGCAACGCCGCGUGCGGGAUGACGGCCUUCGGGUUGUAAACCGCUUUCGCCUGUGACGAAGCGUGAGUGACGGUAAUGGGUAAAGAAGCACCGGCUAACUACGUGCCAGCAGCCGCGGUGAUACGUAGGGUGCGAGCGUUGUCCGGAUUUAUUGGGCGUAAAGGGCUCGUAGGUGGUUGAUCGCGUCGGAAGUGUAAUCUUGGGGCUUAACCCUGAGCGUGCUUUCGAUACGGGUUGACUUGAGGAAGGUAGGGGAGAAUGGAAUUCCUGGUGGAGCGGUGGAAUGCGCAGAUAUCAGGAGGAACACCAGUGGCGAAGGCGGUUCUCUGGGCCUUUCCUGACUCUGAGGAGCGAAAGCGUGGGGAGCGAGCAGGCUUAGAUACCCUGGAAGUC
This 722-nucleotide ribosomal RNA is filed under the name Cutibacterium acnes. RNAcentral describes it as "bacterial SSU rRNA". It matches the Rfam family "Bacterial small subunit ribosomal RNA", at positions 62 to 795 of the family's 1533-position model. Lineage: Bacteria; Bacillati; Actinomycetota; Actinomycetes; Propionibacteriales; Propionibacteriaceae. The record is from RNAcentral.